GAUGAACGCUGGCGGCGUGCCUAAUACAUGCAAGUCGAGCGAACGGACGAGAAGCUUGCUUCUCUGAUGUUAGCGGCGGACGGGUGAGUAACACGUGGAUAACCUACCUUUAAGACUGGGAUAACUUCGGGAAACCGGAGCUAAUACUGGAUAAUAUUUUGAACCGCAUGGUUCAAAAGUGAAAGACGGUCUUGCUGUCACUUAUAGAUGGAUCCGCGCUGCAUUAGCUAGUUGGUAAGGUAACGGCUUACCAAGGCAACGAUGCAUAGCCGACCUGAGAGGGUGAUCGGCCACACUGGAACUGAGACACGGUCCAGACUCCUACGGGAGGCAGCAGUAGGGAAUCUUCCGCAAUGGGCGAAAGCCUGACGGAGCAACGCCGCGUGAGUGAUGAAGGUCUUCGGAUCGUAAAACUCUGUUAUUAGGGAAGAACAUAUGUGUAAGUAACUGUGCACAUCUUGACGGUACCUAAUCAGAAAGCCACGGCUAACUACGUG
This 497-nucleotide ribosomal RNA is filed under the name uncultured bacterium. RNAcentral's name for it is "partial 16S ribosomal RNA". It matches the Rfam family "Bacterial small subunit ribosomal RNA", at positions 28 to 507 of the family's 1533-position model. The record is from RNAcentral.